GAUGAACGCUGGCGGAGGGAAGAAUACAUGCAAGUAGAACGCUGAAGGAGGAGCUUGCUCUUCUGGAUGAGUUGCGAACGGGUGAGUAACGCGUAGGUAACCUGCCUGGUAGCGGGGGAUAACUAUUGGAAACGAUAGCUAAUACCGCAUGACAACAGUUAUUGCAUGAUAACUGUUUAAAAGGGGCAACUGCUCCACUACCAGAUGGACCUGCGUUGUAUUAGCUAGUUGGUGAGGUAACGGCUCACCAAGGCGACGAUACAUAGCCGACCUGAGAGGGUGAUCGGCCACACUGGGACUGAGACACGGCCCAGACUCCUACGGGAGGCAGCAGUAGGGAAUCUUCGGCAAUGGACGGAAGUCUGACCGAGCAACGCCGCGUGAGUGAAGAAGGUUUUCGGAUCGUAAAGCUCUGUUGUAAGAGAAGAACGAGUGUGAGAGUGGAAAGUUCACACUGUGACGGUAUCUUACCAGAAAGGGACGGCUAACUACGUG
This 495-nucleotide ribosomal RNA is filed under the name uncultured bacterium. Its description in RNAcentral is "partial 16S ribosomal RNA". It matches the Rfam family "Bacterial small subunit ribosomal RNA", at positions 28 to 507 of the family's 1533-position model. The record is from RNAcentral.